AGAAUGAAUGGGCUUAUUAUCCUCUCCAUUCCUGGAAAAGGAAAUGAAAAUGAAAAUUUGCCUUAGAUGAGAAGAGAGGUGUAUAUGUUUAAGAGCUAAUAAUCAUUCUAUUGCCUUUCAGAAAAGAUGACAAUGGAAAACUCAGAUUUCGCUAAGUUUAUUCUUUGAAGCUCAGGAGAGCAAGGAAGAAUGGGAGAGGGAAGAAGAGAAAAUUAAUUCCAGGUGUAAGACGAGUUAGCCACCAGAAAGUUCUCUGCUGCCAGAAUGCUCCACACUAUGCACUCAAGAGUUUGAAAGGGAGAAAUCCAAAAAUGGGACCACGCCACAAAUUUUGUAAAGGCAGAGUCAGUCGUCUUUGUAAGAGGAUCCCUGGGGCACUUCCUCAGAUAUAACCCACCAGAACUGGAGACCACAGAAGAAGGCAAAGACCAAGGGACCUUCUCUGACCUCCAAGUUAACAAUGCUGCUCUUUGGUUUCAAGCUGAAGCCCCUCACCCUUCAAAGGAGAUUCAUCCCUCUCCAAGCUGCAUCAUGCUGACAAAGAUCAUUCUUGGAUGAACUCCUGCACCUAACUCACAAAGGCCACCCAUUCAGUCAUUGACUCUCAAUCACCCUUUGGCCAGUUGUGUUUGUCCUGCCUAGGGAAAGCUUGAGACUGGAAGCUUCUAUAGCUGUCUGUGCCAAGGAUACACAGAUUAUAGUAUCUCUGUCCCUCUCUGGCAUUGUUACUUAACUGAUCCUGACCUCUUGUUCUUUAUACUUUAAGUUUGUCAUACAUGUAACUAAUGAAUAAAUUGCAGGUUUGAAACGCCUGUGUAGUUCCU
RNAcentral lists this long non-coding RNA (824 nucleotides) under Phascolarctos cinereus (koala). RNAcentral describes it as "lncRNA (ENSPCIG00000016326.2)". The record is from RNAcentral. Lineage: Eukaryota; Metazoa; Chordata; Mammalia; Diprotodontia; Phascolarctidae.